AGCAGCCGCGGUAAUUCCAGCUCCAAUAGCGUAUAUUAAAGUUGUUGCAGUUAAAAAGCUCGUAGUUGAAUUUCGGGAUCAGAUUGUCGGUCGUGCCUCGGUACGCACUGGCAUUAUUGGUUCCUACCUUCUGAAGAACCGCGAUGUCAUUAAUUUGGUGUCGUGGGGAAUCAGGACUGUUACUUUGAAAAAAUUAGAGUGUUUAAAGCAGGCGCACGCUUGAAUACAUUAGCAUGGAAUAAUGAAAUAGGACGUUUGAUUCUAUUUUGUUGGUUUCUAGGAUCGACGUAAUGAUUAAUAGGGAUAGUUGGGGGCAUUAGUAUUCAAUUGUCAGAGGUGAAAUUCUUGGAUUUAUUGAAGACUAACUACUGCGAAAGCAUUUGCCAAGGAUGUUUUCAUUAAUCAAGAACGAAAGUUAGGGGAUCGAAGACGAUCAGAUACCGUCGUAGUCUUAACCAUAAACUAUGCCGACUAGGGAUCGGAUGAUGUUAAUUUUUUAAUGACUCAUUCGGCGCCUUACG
This 521-nucleotide ribosomal RNA is filed under the name uncultured Glomeraceae. RNAcentral describes it as "SSU rRNA". It matches the Rfam family "Eukaryotic small subunit ribosomal RNA", at positions 569 to 1092 of the family's 1831-position model. Lineage: Eukaryota; Fungi; Glomeromycota; Glomeromycetes; Glomerales; Glomeraceae. The record is from RNAcentral.